AUUUCUUACUUUAGAAGUCUUGCUGUCCUAUUCACUGAGUUCUCCAACUCAUCCUUGAAACCACGCCUCCUCUGAGCUUCAUGAGAAACUCACAGUACAGAGGCAGAGCACCACAUUCAGCUGAGAUCCAAGAGUCUUGAGGAGAGAAGUUUAAUGAAGAUCCAUUUAACAUCUACAGAUGCACAGUCUCUCACUAUCUCUACACAGGGCACUUGAGAAUGCCUUAGAUAAUUCUUGUGAAAGAGGAGACAGCCUUGUUGAGAACUGAGCACUGAAUUGAAUUAUGGGUAGAACAGUAUGUUGGAAACUAACAUGACUAUCCUCCAGAAGCCCCCAAAAGCAGCUGAAAGUGUCAGAUGAUGAUAUUUCCAGCCAAGCAAUGGACAGAAGAUAGUGACCCCAGUGGUUGAAUUUUCAAAAGCUGGAAAAAGCUUAUGAAGAAGGCAACCCUAUAGGAAGACCAGCAGUCUCAACUAUCCUGGACACAUGAGAUCUCUCAGACACUGUGCCACCAACCAGGCUGUAUAUACCAGCUGAUAUGAGGUUCCCAAGACAUAUACAGCAAGAAUUCCUGAAAACAUGUUCCUCCAGCUGAAGUCACUGCUCCUGCUUUAAGAUACAUUGUCCCUGUCACAGUUUUGGAUCAUUCAUCAUUUUCAAAGAAAAGGAUAUACUUCAGGAACCAGUAUCUGACAAAACGAGGAGUCUUGCUGUCCUGUUCACUGAGUUCUCCAACUCAUCCCUGAAACCACGCCUCCUCUCAGCUUCAUGAGAAACUCACAGUACAGAGGCAGAGCACCACAUUCAGCUGAUGGCAUCUGCUUUGGAGUUUGACUUCCUUGUCUCAGUUAUAGAGGGCAUGUCUUCUGCAAAGAAGUUACAAGAUCAAUCUUCAGCUUUUGACAGAGACUAGGAAACACAUGAAGGAGGGUGCCAAGACAUGAAUCAGCAUCACCUAAUGGAUCUUUAAAGUUACUGCAGGAUUUCAUGUCCAUGCCUAGGUAACCCAGUGUGGACAAAUUGAGGAAUGAAUCAGCUGCACUGAUAGUGAUCUCCAAGGAUCUGAUAUCUAUGUCUAGAUAAGUGAUCUCUCUCCUGAUUGGAUCUGACUUCAUUCUCUAUUUGAAUACACCUUCUCAAUCAAUCAGAAGCAAGAAGAGCAAAUAAAUUUAUCUGCAGGAGAAGAUUUGAUCAGUCAGGCUGCUGGUGAUUCUCCAGGACUUAUCUGGUCCUGGAUAUAACCACUGCCAGACUGAAUGGUGCUAAAGAGAAGGGAGAGUGCUUGUGUCACUGUCAGCAGACACAGCCAGUGGAAAGCUGGGAAGGCUGUGCUUGUUUAUUCAGAGUCUCCAUGCAUUGAUUGCUUAGCUCCAUGUUUUUGAUAGUAGCUGUCACCCUAUAGGAAAUUCAGCUAUCUGAUUUGAAGUGUGUUUUACUUUUAUCAGUCAUGAAUGUUUGUGUCUUCUUCAAAGAAGAUACAAGAUUCAAACUUCAGCUUAUGGCACAGACUAGGGAAUAUCUGACAUAUUCAGAUCUUUUGUUUGGCUCCUGUGGGAACAACUGUUGUAGCAAAUAUCACCAAUUAACCACCAUGAAACCUCUGAAAAGGCCAUAGUUAGAUCAUACAGUACCCAGAGUCAAAUUACUCUUCAUACAGUGAUAGUAACCUGUUGGCAUUAAUGGCAGGAGGCAUUUUUAGAUACAACCACAAUUUAUCAUGUUAUUAUUGUUUUAAUUUACUAGAUUGUCUAGGUGGUCAUUUUUCCAAGUCAGUUUUUUUGCUAAAUUACAGUUCAGGGGAUCAUGACCCGUUACAGGAAUCACUGCAUUAUAUUUUGAUUAUCUACACCUUGGUAUUACAACAUGUAACAGGAGAAAAUGGACAGUUAUUUUCACUGUGACCUUGUACUAGUGAAUACCUCUAGACCUAUGCUUUUCUGCUUAUUUGCAUUCUGUCUUUAGAGAUCUAUACUUUGUGAUAUAACAUGGAUAUAUAUGAAACUG
This 2004-nucleotide long non-coding RNA is filed under the name Mus musculus (house mouse). RNAcentral's name for it is "RIKEN cDNA A230057D06 gene (A230057D06Rik)". The stretch from base 1189 to 1259 matches the Rfam family "mir-344 microRNA precursor family". The record is from RNAcentral. Lineage: Eukaryota; Metazoa; Chordata; Mammalia; Rodentia; Muridae.